Molecule: long non-coding RNA, 117 nt
Filed under: Cairina moschata (Muscovy duck)
Lineage: Eukaryota; Metazoa; Chordata; Aves; Anseriformes; Anatidae
Description: domestica (muscovy Duck (domestic type)) lncRNA (ENSCMMG00000012648.1)
Source: RNAcentral
GAAAGAAAUCCAGUGAUAAAAGAUUGGUAUCUGAUAUUUUUCAGUUCAGUGAUGGAAGCCUAUUUAACAGUAGUGACUUUAAGGCAAUCAACUUUUGUUUCCAUGAUGCUGUUUUGA